GACGAACGCUGGCGGCGUGCUUAACACAUGCAAGUCGAACGGAAAGGCCUGCUUUUUCUUGUGUAUUCCGGGUACUCGAGUGGCGAACGGGCGCGUAACACGUGCGUGUUCUGCCCCCAUCUUGGGUAUAAGCCUGGGCAACUAGGUCUAAUUCCCGAUAGGACUGCAGGGUGGUGCCUGUGGUGGUAAAUGUUCUUCUAGUGCUCGGGGAUGCGCCCGCGGCUUAUCAGCUUGUUGGUGGGGUACUGGCCUACCAAGGCGGCGACGGGAAGCCGGCCUGGGAGGGUGGACGGCCACAUUGGGACGGAGAUACGGCCCAGACGCCUACGGGAGGCAGCAGUGGGGAAGAUUGCACAAUGGGCGUAAGCCUGAAGCAGCGAGGCCGCGUGGGAGAUGACGGCCGGCGGAUGGUAAACUCCUUGCGACCACGAGGAAGCCACCUGGUUGGAAGGGUGGUGACGGUAGUGGGAGAAGAAGCACCGGCUAACUACGUG
This 494-nucleotide ribosomal RNA is filed under the name uncultured bacterium. RNAcentral describes it as "partial 16S ribosomal RNA". It matches the Rfam family "Bacterial small subunit ribosomal RNA", at positions 28 to 507 of the family's 1533-position model. The record is from RNAcentral.